This 476-nucleotide ribosomal RNA is filed under the name uncultured bacterium. Its description in RNAcentral is "bacterial SSU rRNA". It matches the Rfam family "Bacterial small subunit ribosomal RNA", at positions 56 to 518 of the family's 1533-position model. The record is from RNAcentral.
CGGAGGGCGAGACAAUAAAAGUAGACAAUUACGUUUGGUGGCCGGACCGGCGGCGACGGGUGAAGUAACGCGUAUCGACAACCUACUAUGAGGAGGGAACUAACCGGCAAAGUCGGACUAAUACCGCAUAAAACAGGGACACCGCAUGGUGAUAUUUGUUUAAAGAAAUUCGCUGAUAGAUGGGCAUGCGUUCCAUUAGGUAGUUGGUGAGGUAACGGCUCACCAAGCCGACGAUGGAUAGGGGAACUGAGAGGUUGGUCCCCCACACUGGUACUGAGACACGGACCAGACUCCUACGGGAGGCAGCAGUGAGGAAUAUUGGUCAAUGGGCGAGAGCCUGAACCAGCCAAGUCGCGUGAAGGAAAGAAGGAUCUAUGGUUCGUAAACUUCUUUUGCAGGGGAAUAAAGUGCAGGACGUGUCCUGUUUUGUAUGUACCCUGAGAAUAAGGAUCGGCUAACUCCGUGCCAGCAGCUGC